CUUCUAUAGAUCCCGGUGAGGGCUUUUUUUCUCCCCCUUCCCAUUUCUUCCAUGAAGAAUGGAAGUUUGUACAAGAAAUGCAUCAUUCUCUAAAACCAAACAGCAAAAAGAGAAACAAAAUGCAAAAGAAAAGAGGGGCAUGUUUUUGAGCUUCAUCAGAAAGUGGGAGUCUUUGCUGUCCGCCAGCUACUGUGGAGCUGAUGGAGAAGGGGAAGAAUGCACCAGGCCUUCCUUCCCUGUCUAA
This 244-nucleotide long non-coding RNA is filed under the name Mustela putorius furo (domestic ferret). Its description in RNAcentral is "lncRNA (ENSMPUG00000027761.1)". The record is from RNAcentral. Lineage: Eukaryota; Metazoa; Chordata; Mammalia; Carnivora; Mustelidae.